GCCUCGGUAGUGUAAUCAGCACGGCAGACUGGAUAUCUGUAAAUGCUGGUUCGAGUCCCGCCUAAGCUU
This 69-nucleotide transfer RNA is filed under the name Dictyocaulus viviparus (bovine lungworm). It matches the Rfam family "tRNA". From Rfam's summary of the family: Transfer RNA (tRNA) molecules are approximately 80 nucleotides in length. Their secondary structure includes four short double-helical elements and three loops (D, anti-codon, and T loops). Lineage: Eukaryota; Metazoa; Nematoda; Chromadorea; Rhabditida; Metastrongylidae. The record is from Rfam by way of RNAcentral.